Molecule: long non-coding RNA, 587 nt
Organism: Neogale vison (American mink)
Lineage: Eukaryota; Metazoa; Chordata; Mammalia; Carnivora; Mustelidae
Exons: 4
Source: RefSeq, a predicted model, not a curated record
GUAGAAUAGAGAAGACUAGAUUGGGAGUUCGGAGAUAAAGCUUGUGGCCUCUGAUUGUCAACUCAGUUACGUAACCUUGAGAAAUGUGAACCUCUGGAGUAGCAGCUCUCCGAGUCAACAGAAGGGUUCUGUGCAUGUUUCUUGACUCUGUUGAGAAGGUUUCCUAAGAGCUGGGACAUUUUUUGGUCACUACUGUGUUCUCACAGUAUCUCACACAUAACAGAAAUUCAGAUGACAGUAAGAAAAAUCUCCAACAGAAAAAAAAAAAAGAAGAAGAAGAAGAAAGAGAAAAAAGGAGAAGGAAAAGAAAGGGUAAGAAGAAGAAUGAGUUGAAACUCUAAAUACUGAACCUUGAAUGGUAAGCAAAUGGGUUACCUGGGAUUACCUGGCAGUUGAAACUGGGAGGUAGAGACCCAGCCCUGCAGAAGUAGAACCUGAGCCUUUCAUAUUAAGCCCAGGCCCUCGAAGUGGACUGAAGUGGUCACAAGUCAUUACUAACCCUGCCCCCAGGUAGAAGAUAAAAUUUAUCUUGGGAGGAAUGCAUUCCCAUUUUGGCACCUGAAGAUUACUCCACCCCCCUCCCCCAC